CCUACGGGAGGCAGCAGUGAGGAAUAUUGGUCAAUGGGCGCGAGCCUGAACCAGCCAAGUCGCGUGAGGGAAGACGGUCCUAUGGAUUGUAAACCUCUUUUGUCGGGGAGCAAAAGACGCCACGCGUGGCGUUCCGAGAGUACCCGAAGAAAAAGCAUCGGCUAACUCCGUGCCAGCAGCCGCGGUAAUACGGAGGAUGCGAGCGUUAUCCGGAUUUGUUGGGUUUAAAGGGUGCGCAGGCGGAAGAUCAAGUCGGCGGUAAAAUUGAGAGGCUCAACCUCUUCGAGCCGUUGAAACUGGUUUUCUUGAGUGAGUGAGAAGUAUGCGGAAUGCGUGGUGUAGCGGUGAAAUGCAUAGAUAUCACGCAGAACUCUGAUUGCGAAGGCAGCAUACCGGCGCUCAACUGACGCUCAUGCACGAAAGUGUGGGUAUCGAACAGGAUUAGAUACCCUUGUAGUC
Molecule: ribosomal RNA, 459 nt
Filed under: uncultured bacterium
Lineage: Bacteria
Description: partial 16S ribosomal RNA
Rfam family: Bacterial small subunit ribosomal RNA
Source: RNAcentral